RNAcentral lists this ribosomal RNA (465 nucleotides) under Vreelandella stevensii. RNAcentral describes it as "partial 16S ribosomal RNA". It matches the Rfam family "Bacterial small subunit ribosomal RNA", at positions 338 to 795 of the family's 1533-position model. Lineage: Bacteria; Pseudomonadati; Pseudomonadota; Gammaproteobacteria; Oceanospirillales; Halomonadaceae. The record is from RNAcentral.
CCUACGGGAGGCAGCAGUGGGGAAUAUUGGACAAUGGGGGCAACCCUGAUCCAGCCAUGCCGCGUGUGUGAAGAAGGCCCUCGGGUUGUAAAGCACUUUCAGUGAGGAAGAACGCCUGGUGGUUAAUACCCAUCAGGAAAGACAUCACUCACAGAAGAAGCACCGGCUAACUCCGUGCCAGCAGCCGCGGUAAUACGGAGGGUGCGAGCGUUAAUCGGAAUUACUGGGCGUAAAGCGCGCGUAGGUGGCUUGAUAAGCCGGUUAUGAAAGCCCCGGGCUCAACCUGGGAACGGCAUCCGGAACUGUCAAGCUAGAGUGCAGGAGAGGAAGGUAGAAUUCCCGGUGUAGCGGUGAAAUGCGUAGAGAUCGGGAGGAAUACCAGUGGCGAAGGCGGCCUUCUGGACUGACACUGACACUGAGGUGCGAAAGCGUGGGUAGCAAACAGGAUUAGAUACCCUUGUAGUC